Molecule: transfer RNA, 71 nt
Filed under: bacterium
Lineage: Bacteria
Description: tRNA-Met
Rfam family: tRNA
About the family: Transfer RNA (tRNA) molecules are approximately 80 nucleotides in length.
Source: RNAcentral
CGCGGGGUAGUGUAGUAGUAGCAUACGAGGCCCAUAACCUCGUGGGGCCGGUGCAAUUCCGGCUCCCGCAA